This is a non-coding RNA of Paramuricea clavata, 272 nucleotides long. The record is from the annotation of a GenBank genome assembly. NCBI's taxonomy places the organism in Eukaryota, Metazoa, Cnidaria, Anthozoa, Malacalcyonacea, Plexauridae.
GCCAAAAAUUGCACCAAAACCGAUGCCACCCGCGGCGUCCGUGAACAAAUUAAGUUUAGAGGAAUUUUGCCAUCUGUCAUCAAGAAAGAAUGAUCGGCCAUUAAAUGUUGACAGGAAAGAUAACCAAACGUUUAAAUCCUCUUUAGCCUCGCCAUUAAGUUUUAUUAGGUGAUGAGAGAAACGGACGCCGUGGGUGAGAUCGAUCAGUCGACGCAAAAAUGCCCUUCCUGGGGUGACGACGCUGCACGCAAAAUUUAACAGGCCAACUAGGG